UACGUAGGUGGCAAGCGUUGUCCGGAUUUAUUGGGUUUAAAGGGUGCGUAGGCGGUCUAUUAAGUCAGCGGUGAAAUACUCCAGCUUAACUGGAGGGGUGCCAUUGAUACUGAUGGACUUGAGUCAAGUCGAGGUAGGCGGAAUUGACGGUGUAGCGGUGAAAUGCUUAGAUAUCGUCAAGAACACCAAUAGUGAAGACAGCUUACUGGGCUUAAACUGACGCUGAGGCACGAAAGCGUGGGGAUCAAACAGG
Molecule: ribosomal RNA, 253 nt
Filed under: uncultured bacterium
Lineage: Bacteria
Description: partial 16S ribosomal RNA
Rfam family: Bacterial small subunit ribosomal RNA
Source: RNAcentral